GCCCGGGUGGCUUAGCUGGACAUAGCGCCGCACUCAUAGGGUCUUUCGACUCAUGCGGCAGUGCACCCGUCAUGACCCCGGGGCGCUCGUCACGCCCCAGACCUGGGCCAUGCGGAGAUCGAGGGUUCGGAGCCCUCCCCGGGCA
Molecule: transfer RNA, 145 nt
Filed under: Haloarcula vallismortis
Lineage: Archaea; Methanobacteriati; Methanobacteriota; Halobacteria; Halobacteriales; Haloarculaceae
Also listed under: 1 other name
Description: tRNA_Met_CAT
Source: RNAcentral